RNAcentral lists this ribosomal RNA (441 nucleotides) under uncultured bacterium. RNAcentral describes it as "partial 16S ribosomal RNA". It matches the Rfam family "Bacterial small subunit ribosomal RNA", at positions 338 to 795 of the family's 1533-position model. The record is from RNAcentral.
CCUACGGGAGGCAGCAGUGGGGAAUAUUGCACAAUGGGGGAAACCCUGAUGCAGCGACGCCGCGUGAGUGAAGAAGUAUUUCGGUAUGUAAAGCUCUAUCAGCAGGGAAGAAGAAAGACGGUACCUGACUAAGAAGCCCCGGCUAACUACGUGCCAGCAGCCGCGGUAAUACGUAGGGGGCAAGCGUUAUCCGGAUUUACUGGGUGUAAGGGGAGCGUAGACGGCUGUGCAAGUCUGAAGUGAAAGCACAGGGCUCAACCCGGGGACUGCUUUGGAAACUGUGGAGCUAGAGUGCUGGAGAGGUAAGUGGAAUUCCUAGUGUAGCGGUGAAAUGCGUAGAUAUUAGGAGGAACAGCAGUGGCGAAGGCGGCUUACUGGACAGUAACUGACGUUGAGGCUCGAAAGCGUGGGGAGCAAACAGGAUUAGAUACCCUAGUAGUC